This 301-nucleotide ribosomal RNA is filed under the name uncultured bacterium. RNAcentral describes it as "partial 16S ribosomal RNA". It matches the Rfam family "Bacterial small subunit ribosomal RNA", at positions 509 to 807 of the family's 1533-position model. The record is from RNAcentral.
CAGCAGCCGCGGUAAUACGGAGGGGGCUAGCGUUGUUCGGAAUUACUGGGCGUAAAGCGCACGUAGGCGGCUUGGUAAGUUAGAGGUGAAAGCCCAGGGCUCAACCCUGGAAUUGCCUUUAAGACUGCCGAGCUAGUAGGUGAGAGAGGUAAGUGGAAUUCCGAGUGUAGAGGUGAAAUUCGUAGAUAUUCGGAAGAACACCAGUGGCGAAGGCGGCUUACUGGCUCAUUCUAGACGCUGAGGUGCGAAAGCGUGGGGAGCAAACAGGAUUAGAUACCCCAGUAGUCCCUGUCUCUUAUAC